AUUGAACGCUGGCGGCAUGCCUUACACAUGCAAGUCGAACGGCAGCACGGGGGCAACCCUGGUGGCGAGUGGCGAACGGGUGAGUAAUACAUCGGAACGUGCCCGAUAGUGGGGGAUAGCUCGGCGAAAGCCGGAUUAAUACCGCAUACGACCUACGGGUGAAAGCGGGGGAUCGCAAGACCUCGCGCUAUCAGAGCGGCCGAUGUCAGAUUAGGUUGUUGGUGGGGUAAAGGCCUACCAAGCCGACGAUCUGUAGCUGGUCUGAGAGGACGACCAGCCACACUGGGACUGAGACACGGCCCAGACUCCUACGGGAGGCA
RNAcentral lists this ribosomal RNA (320 nucleotides) under uncultured bacterium. RNAcentral describes it as "bacterial SSU rRNA". It matches the Rfam family "Bacterial small subunit ribosomal RNA", at positions 29 to 350 of the family's 1533-position model. The record is from RNAcentral.